This 62-nucleotide transfer RNA is filed under the name Nymphon brevicaudatum. RNAcentral describes it as "tRNA-Leu". Lineage: Eukaryota; Metazoa; Arthropoda; Pycnogonida; Pantopoda; Nymphonidae. The record is from RNAcentral.
UCCAAUGAAACAUUUAUUAUGUAUUAAUUUUAGGGGUUAAAUAAAGAAGUUUUCUCUUUGGG